RNAcentral lists this ribosomal RNA (441 nucleotides) under uncultured bacterium. Its description in RNAcentral is "partial 16S ribosomal RNA". It matches the Rfam family "Bacterial small subunit ribosomal RNA", at positions 338 to 795 of the family's 1533-position model. The record is from RNAcentral.
CCUACGGGGGGCAGCAGUGGGGGAUAUUGCACAAUGGGGGGAACCCUGAUGCAGCGACGCCGCGUGGGUGAAGGAGUGCUUCGGCAUGUAAAGCCCUAUCGGCAGGGAAGAAGCAAGACGGUACCUGACUAAGCAGCCCCGGCUAACUACGUGCCAGCAGCCGCGGUAAUACGUAGGGGGCGAGCGUUAUCCGGAUUCACUGGGUGUAAAGGGAGCGUAGACGGCCAGGCAAGCCAGGGGUGAAAGCCCCGCGCUCAAAGUGGGAACUGCCUUUGAAACUGGCAAACUGGAGUGUGUGAGAGGAUAGUGGAAUUCCAGGUGUAGGAGUGAAAUCCGUAGAUAUCUGGAGGAACAUCAGUGGCGAAGGCGACUAUCUGGCACAUAACUGACGCUGAGGAGCGAAAGCGUGGGUAGUAAACAGGAUUAGAUACCCGGGUAGUC